AAGCUGCAGAAAGGAAGAGGGCGGACUUUCUUCUGGAUCUCCUGCCAGAAAUGAAAAGCUGUCACAGAUCGAGAGGAACCAUGGAGGAAAGAACACCACAGAACCUGCUGCUCUGUCUGAGUUUCCUCCUGUGCUGCACAAUAAACCAAGCAGGCCUCCCAGUUGGUCCGACUGUGAGUCCCAGCAGAUCUCAGUUCUUUGAAGGAGAAUCUGUGUUUCUGAGCUGUGAGGAGGACGACAGCUCUGCUGGAUGGACUGUGAGGAGGUACACAGCCAAAGAAGGUGUGGACUGUGGAGAUGAUUUGGAAAAAGCUGCUGGUUCUACCUGUAACAUCAGCAGCCUCUUCAUAGAGGACAGUGGCGAUUAUUGGUGUGUGUCCAGAUCGGGACUAAACAGCAUCGGCAUCCAACUCACUGUCACUGGUAAGAUCAGACUGUGGAGUUAGUGUUGAUGAAGCUGUGUGGA
This is a long non-coding RNA of Fundulus heteroclitus (mummichog), 466 nucleotides long. RefSeq lists it as uncharacterized. NCBI's taxonomy places the organism in Eukaryota, Metazoa, Chordata, Actinopteri, Cyprinodontiformes, Fundulidae. The transcript is spliced from 3 exons. The record is from RefSeq and is a predicted model, not a curated record.